GUGUGUGAGGAGUGCGAAGGGCUUGGCUGCGGCUGGAGGCUGUUUUAGGGUUUCUUCUUUUUUGUGUGUGUUUUGGGCUAGGGUUAAUUUUAUUGGGCUAUACGGGUUAUUGGGUUUUGGGUUGUCUUUUAUUUUUUUGUUUUUUUGUUUUUGGUUUCUUUAGCGGGCCGGGCUAAUAUCAAUCUACUCUUCCAAGAACGUUUCAAUAUUAAUAAACUUGAAUUUUGUGUUAAGAAUCCCACUCUCCUUUAUAUAUUUUUAAUUAAUUUUUUUGGUAUUAGUUUGCCCCUCUAUUUAUUUACUUUUACUAGUUUUUAUUGUGAAUUAAUAUUGUUAUAUACUUACCCCAAA
RNAcentral lists this long non-coding RNA (351 nucleotides) under Gossypium raimondii (Peruvian cotton). RNAcentral describes it as "long non-coding RNA (GRAI_LNC003062)". The record is from RNAcentral. Lineage: Eukaryota; Viridiplantae; Streptophyta; Magnoliopsida; Malvales; Malvaceae.